RNAcentral lists this ribosomal RNA (424 nucleotides) under uncultured prokaryote. Its description in RNAcentral is "bacterial SSU rRNA". It matches the Rfam family "Bacterial small subunit ribosomal RNA", at positions 355 to 796 of the family's 1533-position model. The record is from RNAcentral.
UGGGGAAUCUUGGACAAUGGGGGCAACCCUGAUCCAGCCAUGCCGCGUGGGUGAAGAAGGCCUUAGGGUUGUAAAGCCCUUUCAGUCGUGACGAUGAUGACGGUAGCGACAGAAGAAGCCCCGGCUAACUCCGUGCCAGCAGCCGCGGUAAUACGGAGGGGGCAAGCGUUGUUCGGAUUUACUGGGCGUAAAGGGCGCGUAGGCGGACGGUCAAGUCAGAGGUGAAAGGCCCGGGCUCAACCUGGGACGUGCCUUUGAAACUGAUUGUCUUGAGUGCGGAAGAGGGUGACGGAAUUCCCAGUGUAGAGGUGAAAUUCGUAGAUAUUGGGAAGAACACCGGUGGCGAAGGCGGUCACCUGGUCCGCAACUGACGCUGAGGCGCGAAAGCGUGGGGAGCAAACAGGAUUAGAUACCCCCGUAGUCC